This 74-nucleotide transfer RNA is filed under the name Treponema sp. RNAcentral describes it as "tRNA-Ile". It matches the Rfam family "tRNA". From Rfam's summary of the family: Transfer RNA (tRNA) molecules are approximately 80 nucleotides in length. Their secondary structure includes four short double-helical elements and three loops (D, anti-codon, and T loops). Lineage: Bacteria; Pseudomonadati; Spirochaetota; Spirochaetia; Treponematales; Treponemataceae. The record is from RNAcentral.
GGGCCUUUAGCUCAGUUGGUCAGAGCUGCGGACUCAUAAUCCGUAGGUCCCUGGUUCAAAUCCAGGAAGGCCCA